UACGUAGGGCGCAAGCGUUGUCCGGAAUUAUUGGGCGUAAAGAGCUCGUAGGCGGUUUGUCGCGUCUGCUGUGAAAACCUGAGGCUCAACCUCGGGCUUGCAGUGGGUACGGGCAGACUAGAGUGCGGUAGGGGUGACUGGAAUUCCUGGUGUAGCGGUGGAAUGCGCAGAUAUCAGGAGGAACACCGAUGGCGAAGGCAGGUCACUGGGCCGCAACUGACGCUGAGGAGCGAAAGCAUGGGGAGCGAACAGG
This 253-nucleotide ribosomal RNA is filed under the name uncultured bacterium. RNAcentral's name for it is "partial 16S ribosomal RNA". It matches the Rfam family "Bacterial small subunit ribosomal RNA", at positions 524 to 776 of the family's 1533-position model. RNAcentral also lists the same sequence under 1 other name. The record is from RNAcentral.